GACACCAAAAUCAUAUCUCAAAGGUUGAUUUAAAAUGAGGUAUGCCACUUUUAAGUAUCAGUCAUUUUAGAAUCAAUUUUUGGAAGCCAUAUUGGAUUUUUGGUCAUACCAGGCCACUGACUAUCCUUAUUAUUUGCCCGAAUGUAUUAUUGAUCCUUGAAACCAGUGGUUUAGACACAAAAAUCGCAUCUCCCAGGCCGAUAUGAAAUGAGCUAUGUCCGCUUUAAGUAUCAGUAGCCUCUUUUUAAGAUCAAUUAUUUGAAGCCAUCUUCAAUUUUUGGACAUACCAGACCACUGACUGUCCUUGUAACUUAGCCUAAUAUAUUAUUUGACCCUUGAAACCAGUGGUUUAGACAUCAGAAUCACAUCUCCCAGUCCAAAAUGAAAUGAGCUAUGUCCGCUUUAAGUAUUAACAGCCUUUUCAGAGUCACUUUUUUAAAUCCAUCACAGAUUUUUGCACAUACCAGACCACUGACCUACCUUGUAACUUGUCCCAAUGUAUAAGUUGACCCAUUUGGUAUAGACACAAAAGUCAUAUUUCUGGAUAUUGAGCAAACUAUGUCGGUUUUUCUUUUAAGUAGCAACAGCAAUUUUAGACUCCAUUUUUGGAAGCCAUCUUGGAUUUUUUAAUAUACUGGACCACUGACUGUCCUUGUAACUUGCCCCAAUGUCUUAAUUGACCAUUGAAAUCAUGGUGUAGACACCUAAAUCAUUAUGUCCCAGGUGGAUAUGAAAUGAACUAUGUCCAUUUUAAUUAUCAAAAACCAUUUUAAACUCCAUUUUUGGAAGCCAUCUUGGAUUUUGGGACACCAUCUUGGAUUUGUGGACACACAAGACCACUGGCUCUCCUUGUAAAUUGUACCAAUUUACAACUUCAUCCUUAAAACCAUUGAAAAAAAACCAAAUUAUAGCCACUUAGAUGAAUUGUGGAUUUUCAGCAUACGGCAGCCAUUUUGGGCACCAUCUUGGAUUUGCCAGGUACACUAGAGGGCUUAUAAUUCAUUCUAGCCUAAAUCAAUUUUUUUUAUUCCCUAGACCAUGGAAUAUGAACCGAAAGAGGAUUCUAGGGUGGAUAAUGUGUCAGUUGUAUCUAUUUUUAGUGGUUGGCGGCCAUCUUGGAUGCCAUCUUGAAAAUAACCACUUUCCUGAGGGCCGUCUGCACCAUCCCUAGUUUUCAAAUUAGCGCGCUAUUUCUGAUCCAGCAAAUUAUCCCGAUCUGAAAAAUCUCGAGAUUGUUUGCAGUGGAGACGCAAUUAUCGCGCUAGUUCGUAGGAUUAAUCUCGAGAUUGCAAUCCCAAGUCAACUUGGGUUUAUUUGCAAAAUAGCGCGCUAUUUCACGAAUUAUCCCGCUAAUUCGUAGGUGCAGACGCACUCGAGAUUGGACUCGGGGUAAUUUAUUCAUGACGUCAGUCCAUAAUGCAAUUCGCGUUCCACUUCCGCCUUGGUCAAAACAUAAACACAUCGCGAUCGUACCGAACACGUGCGAAAGUCAACUUUAUACACACGAAUAGACAUUAUCGCGAAUAGCGUUCAUCAAUUCCCCAAUCAGCAACAAUGGUGUCCUACCAGUGAAUGGAUUUGGGGAGAGACCAGACCAAUAUGGGAGGCGCUCAUAUCGACGAUGGUCAUAGUCAAUAACAGCACUGACAGCAGGGUCGUCUUAUUCCUUCGCAAAAUGUGAGCAAAUAUCAUUUCUUUCCUCCUUCUCUCUCUCUCUGUCGUUGCCUCCUCCGCCAUCAUAUUAUUUAACGAAGAAUACAUCACUUCCUCACUCGCUGAGCGCGGCUGAGCUGAGAGGAUUGUUGCAUAACACCGGUCGAAUUUGGCGAAAGUGCUAGUGAAAGGAGUACAUUGAUUGCAUAUCGCGGGAAGUUAUUCAAAAGCGCGGGCCGUUGAAACUCCAAGAUCCGAAAGUGCGCAUGCUCGGAAUAUCGGGCAUGUUGCCUCGCUCGAGCAGGAAUUGCUCGUCUUGCGAUGGUGGAGACGGGGUUUCUUGAAUCUCGAGAUUAAUCGCGAAUAGGGCCGAUCGGGCUAAAAUCUCGAGAUUGAGCAAACUCGGGAUGGUGCAGCACCGCCUCUGGAUGCAGAUUUUGGUAGAUAUUUAGUAUGUUAUUCCUGAGGUCAAAUAGUACAAAAAACCGCUGAAAAAUCAUUUGUUGCAAUUUGUUCCAGCUAAGGGUAUUUUUGGUCGUAUAUUUACCCGUCUAUAUGGCUGGGAGUGGAUGAAAUCAAAGUUUGAUCGAAUUUGAUAGUAUUCUUACACACUUCUGACAAAAUAAGUGACAAUAUCAAAUGAAAAUUAUAAUGUCAGAAUUAUAUUCAAGAAAUUCACGUUAGAUCCUCAGUUUCUACGCAGACAUUGCCCAACCCAGUAACCCAUGGUAUCCCUAUCCUGGCUCCUUUCCUUUAUUUUUGUUUGUAUUUACUACCAAUUUUUAAGACGUAAAUGUGAGCAAUCCAAUACGCAAUGCGAGGUAAACAUUUCGCGCCACUGCCAAAAGAGAGAGAGAGAAAGAGAGCUAGUACUGCUCGCUAUGUCCGUCUCUCUAACCCUAUAGCAUAGACUUCACUCUACCCGAAUCGCUGGGGAGAAGAGCUAAAUGAGUGAAAGAAAUUUUGGACGAAGUAAUUGACAAGAUUAUUUUAGGAUCUGAAAAGCAAACUUUUUUUUUAUAUAAUAUUCAGUUAGUGUAGGCUUGUUUUACUGUUGUCGGGGAUGUUCACGGUUGGCGGCUUUGCCAUAAAAUUGUUCAGGGUAGUCGGCGCCCGCCCACCAUGAAGCAUGGUAGCGAGAACGUUGGCACUGAAAAUUUCAUCAAUAUCAGAUGUAAGACAAGGAAGACUUGGCAUUUGAAAAUUUGACUCAUUAUCAGAGUUACAUGAGUAAUUGAUUUAUCUGAAGUAUUAAAAUAUUCUGGAUAGUCCCAUACAAUUGCUCUGUUUUUUUUUUAUUAACUUCACAGAUAUCUGGGUAUGAGAUAGACCUUGUAGAGUUUUCUCUAAUUGUAGCACAACAGGGUGGACUCAAAACCAUCACAAAUAAUAAAAGAUGGAAUAAAGUAGCAGAUCUUCUUCAUAUCCCCAAACCACUACAAAGCAGAGUGAAAUUAGAUAGUAUCUACUGCAAGUUUCUUCUCAGCUUUGAUAAUCUUUCAAAAG
Molecule: long non-coding RNA, 3159 nt
Organism: Lytechinus pictus (painted urchin)
Lineage: Eukaryota; Metazoa; Echinodermata; Echinoidea; Temnopleuroida; Toxopneustidae
Exons: 2
Source: RefSeq, a predicted model, not a curated record